GAUGAACGCUGGCGGCGUGCCUAAUACAUGCAAGUCGAGCGAACAGACGAGGAGCUUGCUCCUUCGACGUUAGCGGCGGACGGGUGAGUAACACGUAGGUAACCUACCUAUAAGACUGGGAUAACUUCGGGAAACCGGAGCUAAUACCGGAUAAUAUUUCGAACCGCAUGGUUCGAUAGUGAAAGAUGGCUUUGCUAUCACUUAUAGAUGGACCUGCGCCGUAUUUGCUAGUUGGUAAGGUAACGGCUUACCAAGGCAACGAUACGUAGCCGACCUGAGAGGUUGAUCGGCCACACUGGAACUGAGACACGGUCCAGACUCCUACGGGAGGCAGCAGUAGGGAAUCUUCCGCAAUGGGCGAAAGCCUGACGGAGCAACGCCGCGUGAGUGAUGAAGGUCUUCGGAUCGUAAAACUCUGUUAUUAGGGAAGAACAAACGUGUAAGUAACUGUGCACGUCUUGACGGUACCUAAUCAGAAAGCCACGGCUAACUACGUG
RNAcentral lists this ribosomal RNA (497 nucleotides) under uncultured bacterium. RNAcentral describes it as "partial 16S ribosomal RNA". It matches the Rfam family "Bacterial small subunit ribosomal RNA", at positions 28 to 507 of the family's 1533-position model. The record is from RNAcentral.